AGCGAACGCUGGCGGCAGGCUUAACACAUGCAAGUCGAACGCCCCGCAAGGGGAGUGGCAGACGGGUGAGUAACACGUGGGAACGUACCCUUUGGUUCGGAAUAACUUGGGGAAACUCAAGCUAAUACCGGAUAAGCCCUUAUGGGGAAAGGUUUCCUUCCGAAGGAUCGGCCCGCGUCUGAUUAGCUAGGUGGUGAGGUAAUGGCUCACCAAGGCGACGAUCAGUAGCUGGUCUGGGAGGAUGAUCAGCCACACUGGGACUGAGACACGGCCCAGACUCCUGCGGGAGGCAGCAGUGGGGAAUAUUGGACAAUGGGGGCAACCCUGAUCCAGCCAUGCCGCGUGAGUGAUGAAGGCCUUAGGGUUGUAAAGCUCUUUUACCCGGGACGAUAAUGACUGUACCGGGAGAAUAAGCCCCGGCUAACUUCGUGCCAGCAGCCGCCGUAA
This 447-nucleotide ribosomal RNA is filed under the name uncultured bacterium. Its description in RNAcentral is "partial 16S ribosomal RNA". It matches the Rfam family "Bacterial small subunit ribosomal RNA", at positions 29 to 523 of the family's 1533-position model. The record is from RNAcentral.